UACGGGGGGGGCAAGCGUUGUUCGGAAUUACUGGGCGUAAAGGGCUCGUAGGUGGCCAACUAAGUCGGACGUGAAAUCCCUCGGCUUAACCGGGGAACUGCGUCCGAUACUGGAUGGCUUGAGUUUGGGAGAGGGAUGCGGAAUUCCAGGUGUAGCGGUGAAAUGCGUAGAUAUCAGGAGGAACACCAGCGGCGAAGGCGCUGCUCUGGGCCGGUACUGACGCUGAGGAGUGAAAGCGUGGGGAGCGAACAGG
Molecule: ribosomal RNA, 253 nt
Filed under: uncultured bacterium
Lineage: Bacteria
Description: partial 16S ribosomal RNA
Rfam family: Bacterial small subunit ribosomal RNA
Source: RNAcentral